This 484-nucleotide ribosomal RNA is filed under the name uncultured bacterium. RNAcentral describes it as "partial 16S ribosomal RNA". It matches the Rfam family "Bacterial small subunit ribosomal RNA", at positions 30 to 507 of the family's 1533-position model. The record is from RNAcentral.
AUUGAACGCUGGCGGCAGGCCUAACACAUGCAAGUCGAGCGGAUGAAGGGAGCUUGCUCCUGGAUUCAGCGGCGGACGGGUGAGUAAUGCCUAGGAAUCUGCCUGGUAGUGGGGGAUAACGUCGGGAAAGGGGGGCUAAUACGGCAUACGUCCUGAGGGAGAAAGUGGGGGAUUUUCGGACCUCACGCAAUCAGAUGAGCCUAGGUCGGAUUAGCUAGUUGGUGGGGUAAAGGCCUACCAAGGCGACGAUCCGUAACUGGUCUGAGAGGAUGAUCAGUCACACUGGAACUGAGACACGGUCCAGACUCCUACGGGAGGCAGCAGUGGGGAAUAUUGGACAAUGGGCGAAAGCCUGAUCCAGCCAUGCCGCGUGUGUGAAGAAGGUCUUCGGAUUGUAAAGCACUUUAAGUUGGGAGGAAGGGCAGUAAGUUAAUACCUUGCUGUUUUGACGUUACCAACAGAAUAAGCACCGGCUAACUUCGUG